This 647-nucleotide ribosomal RNA is filed under the name bacterium symbiont of Christineconcha regab. RNAcentral describes it as "bacterial LSU rRNA". It matches the Rfam family "Bacterial large subunit ribosomal RNA", at positions 1080 to 1716 of the family's 2925-position model. The record is from RNAcentral.
AAGGCCCAGACAGCCAGGAGGUUGGCUUAGAAGCAGCCAUUCCUUUAAAGAGUGCGUAAUAGCUCACUGGUCGAGUCGGUUUGCGCGGAAGAUUUAACGGGGCUAAAACUACAUACCGAAGCUACGGAUCGCAAUUUAUUGCGAUGGUAGGAGAGCGUUCUGUAAGCCGUUGAAGGUGAACUGUGAGGUUUGCUGGAGGUAUCAGAAGUGCGAAUGCUGACAUGAGUAACGAUAAAGGGGGUGAAAAACCCCCUCGCCAGAAGUCCAAGGUUUCCUACGCAACGUUAAUCGGCGUAGGGUUAGUCGGCCCCUAAGGCGAGGCAGAAAUGCGUAGUCGAUGGGAAAUGGGUUAAUAUUCCCAUACUUCAUAUAACUGCGAUGGGAAGACGGAGAAAGUUAACGCAGCUUGGCGAUGGUUGUCCAAGUUCAAGCGUGUAGAGUAGGUUCUUAGGAAAAUCCGGGAAUCUUAGAUUUAGUUCUAAAGCUUAAGGCGUGAUAACGAACCCUCUUUUGGGAAAAGUGCGUGAUACUAUGCUUCCAGGAAAAUCCUCUAAGCUUCAGGUUAUAUGAAACCGUACCCCAAACCGACACAGGUGGACGAGAUGAGAAUUCUAAGGCGCUUGAGAGAACUCGGGUGAAGGAACUAG